Molecule: RNA transcript, 4746 nt
Organism: Zeugodacus cucurbitae (melon fly)
Lineage: Eukaryota; Metazoa; Arthropoda; Insecta; Diptera; Tephritidae
Exons: 3
Source: RefSeq, a predicted model, not a curated record
UUUGUAAAUUUCAUACAUAUAUCAAAUAUUUAAAAUAUUCUCCAUUUUAACUAUUUGUAUUGGCGAACGCAUAUGUGAUAAAUAUUUGCGUGUCAAUGUAUCAUCAAAAAAAAUACUGAAAUUGGUACAUUUCGCCCAAACUGGUAACUCUAGUUACAAUAUCAAAUGUCAAAAGCCCCAGAAGCGCUGGCAAAUAGAGCAUAGAUCUAUUCGUAACUUCAAGCGCUUGAAGCAAAGCUUCAUUUGGUCUCUUUUCAUAUGCUCUAGUAUAGUUCUAUUCAGUGUUGACAGUUCUCACAGCAAAGCAAGUAAAGCCAGUCAGCAUUGGGUCUGGACCUUAACGCGUAAUUGCAUACCUCAGUAGUAGUGUGGAAACUGCAAAACACCCAAAAUUGAUUUCUAAAAUACCCAAUCUGAUUUCUUCGGUAGUGGCAUCACUGCCAAAUGUUAUAAAAACUGUGGAUUUUGACAGCGCUCUCACAAAACAAAGAGUUUCGUAUCAUGUCAUCCCAGCGGGAUAAUGGUUCACCGCUUACAUUUUUCUUUGAAGAAUACUUCGAAGAAAAUUCGAUGUUGAAUUCUUCGAUACCUGGUAAUGUAUAAAAGUAAGCUAUGCGGAACUUCGCUUACAUUUUUCUUGAAGAAUAUUUCGAUGAAAAUUCUAUGUAGAAUUCUUCGAUACAAGGUAAUGCAUAAAAGUAAGCUAUACGGCUAAAUUCUACUGUGUUCAUAUUUACAAAUCAAGGAAGUACAUGAAAAACGACAAAUACAAAUUGAUGGAAUAAAAUUUAUAAGUAAAUUUUUUCAUUAUUUCGUCAAAUCAUCAAGCAAAAAGUUGGUCGUGAUCAGGUGAGCUACUAUUUUAAUUAAAAAUUUUGUUUAUUUUUUUGUGUUUAAACUUAGAAUAAAAAAUAAAAGAAUGUUCUCACAAAGACAUAUGAGAAGACUUAUUAAAAAUGAAGAAAGUGAAUUUUACGGAAUGGCUGAAAAUGAUUCUGAAGAGAAUGCGGUGAAUUGUAGUGAAUUUUACGAAAUGACUGAAGAUGAUUCUGAAGAGGAUGCGGUGAAUUGUAGCUUUGACAAUAUUGAUGCUGAAGUCGAAUUUUUUGAAAAAGAAGAAAGUUCACAAAAAACGAACUGUGACAAAUUAAUUGAAAAAUUGAAAAUGUGGACUGCGCGUCAUAAAGUCACAAGGAACUGCUUCGAUGAUUUGUUAAAAAUAUUGCAGUCGGAGAAUAUUUCUGUACCAACAUCUUCGAAAGGAAUUUUACGGCAAGCGACCUGCAGAUUGAGAACUGUUGCGCCAGGAAAUUAUUUGCACAUAGGCCUAGAAAAGCAACUAAGGAGUAUCGCGAUAACGUUGAGUCACGUUGAUAAAUUUGAAAUCGAUAUCGUUAUUGACGGCUUACCUUUGUACAAAAGCUCAAAUGUAAGCUUGUGGCCUAUAUUGGCAAAAUUGCAUCCAAAAAGAAAUACGAAGGUGAUGUUGAUUGGUGUUUUUGAAGGCAAACAGAAACCGGCAGACGUGAAUAACUAUUUACACGAUUUUGCUUAUGAACUAAAAACUUUAACGCAAUACGGAAUGGAAGUCAAUGGCAGAAGAAUCAAAGUGAAAGUGCGAUGCUUUAUUUGCGAUGCCCCAGCAAGAGCAUUUAUCUGCCAAACAGUAGGUCACAACUCUUUUCAAGGAUGCAGCAAGUGCACACAAGUGGGUAAAAAAAUAAACCAUACAAUAACUUACAGUACAUUGACGGAAAAUCUUCGAACUGACGAUGACUUUGCUGCAAGAAAUAGCGUGGGCCAUCAUAAAAAAAUGGAAAAAUCGUGUCUCGAAGAAAUAGGUGUGGGAAUGGUCUCCGCUUUUCCUGUUGAACCAAUGCACCUUUUAGAUCUUGGAGUUGUAAGAAAAGUGCUAAAAUGUCUAAUUAAUGGUCCGAAUGUAGGAUAUCAGUUGACAAAGCAGCAGAAAAAUAUGCUGUCGAAAACUUUGAUUUCGUACAUACCUUACAUACCCAAUGAAUUUGCUCGAAAACCACGAAGCUUAGAUGAAAUUGCAAGAUGGAAAGCAAUAGAGUUCCGACAGUUUGUACUUUACACGGGAAUGGUUGCUUUGAAAGACAUUGUAUCUGACAGUAUUUAUUAUCAUUUUUCUUUGUUGCACUGUGCAUAUGCAUUGCUUUCGUCACAAAAAACCUAUGAAAACAAUUUAGAAGAAAUAAAGCAAAUGCUUAAUUACUUCGUGCACCUUUUCCCAACCUUUUAUGGAGAAGAAAAAGCAAGUUACAAUGUACAUUCAGUGCUGCAUUUGGUGGACUCCGUUAAAUCGUGCGGUUUUCUGAAUUCAUUAUCAGCAUAUGCAUUCGAAAAUUUUUUGCAAACCCUAAAGCGGUUCGUUAAAAGACCCCGAGAAACAUUACAACAAAUAAAUAACAGAUACCAAUACGAAAACGUGUUUACAAAAGACAGAUAUCUGGGUCCAAAAGUCAAUAGAUGUGGGAAGGUUAUUCGAUUUUAUGGAAAUGACUUUAAUAUCAGCGAUAAAUUACCGGAUAAUUUUUGCUACGUUAAACCGGGAGUGGCAAUACAAAUUAUAAGAUUAUCGAAGAAAGAUGAUUCCAUGCAUAUAAGGAAAAGUUUUGAAAAACUGCUGCAAUCUAUUUACGGAACCAUUGAAAUCGAUGAUAGAUUUGGGCGUUUUCAUAGCUGACAUUGACACCGAAGAAGCGGAGCAAAUCUAUGAUGUCCAACUUAUUUUAUACAAAUUAAUGUGUCUGCCUUACGAUAAUCAAUUUGUAUUUCUACCGAUUAUUCACAGCAAGGGCCUAUAAGAUGAGUUACCACGGGCUGAAGCCUUUUAGCGUGAAAUCGGUUGCGGAAAAUUACAAAAACGAAAAUUCUUGUCCAUGCAAAAUCGCCAGUCUGGAAAAAAAAAUUGAUGAAAUGCAACAACAUAUUGAGAAAUUGACGAAACACGUUGACACCACAAAUGAGCUGUUGAGAAAAUUAACCACCGUGCAGUCAGCAAAUAAUGCCCUCAUAAAUGCAAUGAGUUGCAGGCGCAAAUCUACUAAUAAAUUUCCAUUAAAAACUGAUGCAGCAUUAAAAGAACUUGACAAAGAAUUGGAAGGUAACAAGGAAAAACAUAUGCCUAUAAUACAAGACCUGCUAGGUCACAAUGCAAUUGAAAAAUCACUGCAUAAAAUUAUAGCAGUUGAAUUGUAGCUGGAAUACAAUUACUUUGGUGUGAAGGGUAAAAAAUCUUUGAAGGAAUUUACGCACUUUAAUGCGUUACUAUUUGGUAAGUUUUUCGUAUUUUUAACAUUGAAGGACAUAGCUUCAAAUUUAUAAACAUACUCUUUCAACUUUUUUUGUAGAAUGUGUGAAAGUUGAAGGUUUCACCGAGUCGGAGUAUAUACACCAAAUUCAAAAAAGUAUCAAACUCGCCAAAGACCGUUUCUUCAAGUCUCGUUGCUUGGAUAAAAAACGAAAAGAGGCUCAGCCACAAAAUUAAAAGCAGCAUACCAAUUCGAACAAAAAGGAACGAGAAAGGAUCUCGCGCACCUUUUUUCAUUACGACGUCGUUCGACCAACAUCUCCGCUUUCGCAGCAUCCCGGUUCUUUCCGCUAGUUACCCGCAUAUAGUUAUAUAUAUUUAACGUUUUUUAAAACCUGCUGUUUUCAACCUUUGAUCAUUUUAUAUAUACUAUAUAUAUGUGUAUUUAACGUUUUUAAACUAUUUCAAUUUGUAAUAAUUCAGUUCAGUUAAACGCAUUUUGUUAUAACAAUUUUUAAGUGCAUUUCGCAAAAAAUAAAACCUUUAUAACGAUUGUAUCGAAUUUAACUGUGGCAUGGUGGAAUUCUUUGUUAACUAUGGCAUCAAAGAAUUCUUCGUUAACUAUGGCAUCGAAGAAUUCAUCGUUAACUGUGGCAUCGAAGAAUUCAUCGUUAACUGUGGCAUCGAAGAACUCUUCAUUUACUUUGGCAUCAAAGAACUCUUCGUCCCUAUGGUAAGCGAAAGGGGUGAUCUGUUACUUUUCGUAGGACAUCGCCUUGUUAAUUUUCAUCGGUCGGAGUAAGCGAAACAAUCAUGCUACAUCGUUUACCUUGCUCGCUUACCAAUGUCUACCAUAUCCCGCUGGGAUCUUUUACUUUACUGCCGUAAAUUAACGUCUCGAACAAAGAACUUAGAACAUACAAUAGAAAACUUAUGGAUUGUUUACAUUAUUUUUCAUAAUUUUACACACCACCGAGGCGUACUUGGGUUGUGUGCUAUGCUUUUUUUGCUACAAUUGAGGUAAUUAGGGUGUUGUACUAACAUUUAAUCUUCACAAAAAUGUUAAUGUCUGAUGAACAACACUUAAAUAAAUAAUGUUACGAACGAUAUGGCAGCAUCAUUAACGUAAUCCUAAUUAGUUACGUUUUUUCCUAAUUACUUACGUAUGUCCUAAUUACAUACGCGCUUAUUGCUAUCGUGGCGAAUUUUGAUUGGUCGAUUUGGAGAAACGGGGGCAAUCAGAAGAUCAGUUAGCAAAGAAGGAAUAAAUAGGCAAAAGCGGGAGCCGUUGCUAACAGAUCGGCAUUAUCGCAUUAGAGGGUAGAGUGUAAAGUAAAUUUUUUAAUUCUCAGAACUAAUUGUUAAUUAAUUUAAAUUAAAAUAAUAAAUUAAUAUAAAUUAAUUCAAAACUAGCGUUUUAGUUCGAAUUGCAAAAAAUUCUUUAUAUUUUUUUACAUCUUAAAAAAUUUACU